This 106-nucleotide ribosomal RNA is filed under the name Paenibacillus flagellatus. RNAcentral describes it as "Bacterial small subunit ribosomal RNA". It matches the Rfam family "Bacterial small subunit ribosomal RNA", at positions 1 to 115 of the family's 1533-position model. The record is from Rfam by way of RNAcentral. Lineage: Bacteria; Bacillati; Bacillota; Bacilli; Caryophanales; Paenibacillaceae.
UUUUUGGAGAGUUUGAUCCUGGCUCAGGACGAACGCUGGCGGCGUGCCUAAUACAUGCAAGUCGAGCGAGUCUCUUCGGAGGCUAGCGGCGGACGGGUGAGUAACA